RNAcentral lists this ribosomal RNA (484 nucleotides) under uncultured bacterium. RNAcentral describes it as "partial 16S ribosomal RNA". It matches the Rfam family "Bacterial small subunit ribosomal RNA", at positions 30 to 507 of the family's 1533-position model. The record is from RNAcentral.
AUUGAACGCUAGCGGGAUGCUUUACACAUGCAAGUCGAACGGCAGCGCGGACUUCGGUCUGGCGGCGAGUGGCGAACGGGUGAGUAAUGUAUCGGAACGUGCCCAGUAGCGGGGGAUAACUACGCGAAAGCGUAGCUAAUACCGCAUACGCCCUACGGGGGAAAGCAGGGGAUCGUAAGACCUUGCACUAUUGGAGCGGCCGAUAUCGGAUUAGCUAGUUGGUGAGGUAACGGCUCACCAAGGCGACGAUCCGUAGCUGGUUUGAGAGGACGACCAGCCACACUGGGACUGAGACACGGCCCAGACUCCUACGGGAGGCAGCAGUGGGGAAUUUUGGACAAUGGGGGCAACCCCGAUCCAGCCAUCCCGCGUGUGCGAUGAAGGCCUUCGGGUUGUAAAGCACUUUUGGCAGGAAAGAAACGUCGCGGGCUAAUACCCCGUGGAACUGACGGUACCUGCAGAAUAAGCACCGGCUAACUACGUG